RNAcentral lists this unclassified non-coding RNA (622 nucleotides) under Hevea brasiliensis (rubber tree). The record is from RNAcentral. Lineage: Eukaryota; Viridiplantae; Streptophyta; Magnoliopsida; Malpighiales; Euphorbiaceae.
GUGUUUAGAAGUAAUAGACUUCAAACCUGAAACCUGCAUUGCUCCAGCACCAAGGACAAGCUGACAAGUCCUUGUAUUGAACAAUUUCAGGAUUUCAACAACACGGUGAACGACUUCUGAAGAUAGGCCCGGCAAGCUAUUAUUCAUCUCAAUACAUUCUGACAACAUCUUUACCAAAAUCAAGCCGCAGUUUACCAUAUGAUAUCCAACACCUCUGAAGAAAAGAAGUCUAGCAGAAGAUUUUCCACGUUCUCUUGAGUUAGUUUCAUUGCUCUGUGCUGUACUCUCUGAACGUGGAGUAGAAUCAGUGUGCUCUGCAUUUUGUGAUAUCUUUUGAAGUCUAGCUUCUGCCGUAGGGGAACCAUCACUGCCCAGGACCAUCUUAGGGCUGCUUGGUGCAAUAUCAGCUGAAACCUCAUCAGCAAGUUCACGGGUCUCAGAUUCUGAGCAGAACAGUGAUGUGACAAUUGUCUGGAACUCAUCAGGGACAUCAAUCUCAGCCCAAUUUUCCUGGUCAAGAAUGGCCCUCAUCUUUGCCAUCCUGGAUUCGUGUUGGAAAUCAAUAAAGGCCUUGGCCUGUGAUUGCAAUGUUCCCCGAAUACUAUAACCCAAUCUUCCACCA